Long non-coding RNA from Pipra filicauda (Wire-tailed manakin), 386 nucleotides. RefSeq lists it as uncharacterized. The transcript is spliced from 3 exons. The record is from RefSeq and is a predicted model, not a curated record. Lineage: Eukaryota; Metazoa; Chordata; Aves; Passeriformes; Pipridae.
GAGACGUGACCUGACAUUCAAAAUGAAACACUAAGACUGAAACGAAUAAUCCACCACUUGUGAUUUACUUUUUCAGUAUUUUUUUUUAAAAGCCAGUUCUCUGCUCUUUGAUCUGCUGCCUUGGGAUUUCUGAGUGCUUUAUCUUUCCAUGUGACAGUCACCUGCCAAUGAUGAUUUCGGAAAUGAGCAUUUCUCUACGAGUAGGAAAGACAGGCGGCUUGAACUCACAAGAAAGAAGUCAUAAAGUAUAUUACUCUCUAUAAAAAAUGGAAGACCUAGUUAUAGAAAAGACACCAUUUUUGUGCCUUUCACUUGUUACCUUUCCCUGCUUCAGUAAAAGUUUCAGGUUGUCUUCUGACUGGAAAACAAAGAGUCAAAAAGUCCUG